GGUGCCCCUGCUCCGCCCAGACAGGAUGUGGUGCCUGGCAUGAUCUGAAGUGGUGACAAAAAGGGGCAAGCGGGAUCCUGAGGGCUCUCCGCUAAUCAGAGAUGGUGUUUUUAAACCUUGGUUUUUGCUAAAUCAUCCGGAGUGAGAAAUCAAAGGCAGCAAGCUUGUGGCCUUUGUGGCAGGGCUUGUGGCCACACCAGGCUUCUGGCCUCAGGCCACAGGCACGAGUGUCCAGCCCAGCACCCACAGCCCUGGCCCUGGGCUGAUUUACCUCACGAUGGGUUGUUUUCAUAGCCAUCGGUCGGGAGUGUUUAAUAGCUGUUAGCACUUGUUCCUGCUGGAGGCAGGCAGGCCGCAGUGCAGGCAGGGAGGCCCCACACAUCCUUCCUGACAUCGUCAGCACCGCUGUCACCUGCGCAUGCAGGCCCUGAAAUCCAGAGACAUCUCUGAGAAAAAGCUGCUUCUCCUGGCUGCUGUGCUCACACAGUUCCUCAGCGUGCUUCUUACUCGAAAGCUCAAGGCUGAAACUUUGCUUUUUACAUCCCCAAAGCUACUUCCACUCUUGGAGAGACCAAGCAUGUUGCUGGAGCUUCGCAGUGCCUGCCCCACAGCCCCACUAGGCUGCAACAGAGCCAGGGCUGCGUGCAUCCCUGCUUUAGCCAUGUUCCCACAACUGGGCGCGGGGGGAAGAGCAUGGACUGAAAUGCAACGGCUUUGCUGGACUCUUAAAAGUCGCAGGAUAAAGAGUUUUCUCCUGCCCCUUCCGUCUGAGUGCUUGCAUUUUGGGUUCAGCAGCACCCAGCCCGUGGCACUAACAAGGAGCACGGAGGUGAGCUACUGCAGGCAUGUGUUGAGUUGCUCUCAGCUGACCAGCUCUGGUCUGCAACGAAGCCUCUUCCUCCCAGCGCACAGCUCCCACCUGCAGGGCGAGGGAAGUUACACCGUGCUGAAGUUUCAUAAAUACAAAGUUCGGUACGUAGCCCUUCAUCCCAACAGGACCAGUUUAUUGCAUAACCAGAUUUAAUUUAUGACUGCACUCACCUCGUCAUCCUCCAGUAGUGACUGGCGAUGGCUUGCAAAGUGCAUUGCUCAUGGCAAAAUGAAUAUGUGGUGUGCACACUCCUGUUUCCAACUGGGGUGUCCAGUAUUUUGAAGUUCCAGUCAUAGGUCUACUUAUAACAGCAGAAAAGGAAAAUAUGCAGAGACAUAUUUUUUCUUCUUAAAGGUGUAGGUUCCAAGUGCUUUAUUAACCAGGUUUGAACUAAAUUGUUAGAGCAAAUAGUUCAGCACAGCCCUCCCUUUAUUCCCUCUUGCACUAAGGAGAGAUUUUUCAUUUCAUAAAUCAUUCAGAGUCCACAGCAGUGACAUUGCCCUGCUCUCAGUACUUCACUCCGAGCACUUUACAGAGAGCACAGUGGCCAUGCACGUCGUGCCCGCUGCUGUCACGGACCUGGCAGCAAAGCAGGUGCAAUCUCAGCCGGGGGAAAAGGAACAAGUUGUGGUUACACUAACUGCUCUUUGGAAGUUUCACCUUAGUGUUUUGUGCACAGAUUGCUUUUCCAAUCUACAUCACAGACUGCAGCACCAAAAGUGAUUACAUUUCUGUCCUAAAAAAAACAAAUAGAACCGAUGAUGUGAGUGUAUACGUUCUCAGAGGGUGCUUAUGUAUUUGAAAAUGCCUGUAUGCAUUAUAUUACAUUUAUCCUAACAGAUUUUGAAAAACGUCCUCAUUAAGAUUUAUCUUUUUGCACUGAUGGAGUUACUUUUCUCCAGCCCAGGAAAGAGAUUCUGUGUUGAAUCUCUGCCAGGUUGCACUGUCAUACCACGAGCUCCAGGGAAGGUGAAAUUAUUCGUAAGGCUCAUUCUGCUCUGACUGAAACCAACAGCAUCUCCUGCUUGCAGCGAGAGCUUGCACAGGUGAAACCUCUGUCAGCAGACAACAGGAAGCGAGUGUUGGACAACAGCGAUCUUCAGGCAAGGACUGCCAGCAGUUGCCUCAGCUCAGCCCCAUCCCGAGCCACAUGCUGUGGAGAAGGUUAGCAGAGCCCCACAGCAGCUCCAAGCAGCACAGAGAAAUUCAGUGGGUGGACCAAACCCAUGUCUUUGUCAGUUCUCUAUUGAUUGCAGGCUAAAUCAAAUACAGUAAGAGGAAAGAGCAAACAGAACUGAGUUGGCCGAGACAAUAUUUCCAUGCCAAGAGAGGCUCUUACUCCUGUCACUGUCACAGCUCUCUGCAUUCAGGCCGUUCUCUAAAGCAAACGUGGGGGUUUUCCACCAGCUGGAAGCUCAGGCUGGGUGGUGCAGAGGACCCACACCUCCAGGUCACUGCAUUCCAUCAGUACUGGAUGGGUGACCUCUGAGGGCCAGCAGUGUCCCACAGGCACCUACAGAGAACCAUUCCCCUUGGCUGGCAUGCUCUGGCAGCCCCACUGGUUGGGCAGUCAUGUCCCACACAUGGCUGAACCCUCAACACCAGGAUCACGCUGAGAAGCAGGACAAGUUGCAGGAGAUGGCAUGUGGUGGGUUGCUACCCUAUGUUAAGAUAAAUAAAAAUGCCUCAGGCAACAUGACACGAAGCCUGCAAGGCUGAAAGGAAGGCCUUUGCCUCCCUUAUGGGGCUCCUGGCCCGUGGCUCACAGCCCUGCUGAGGUGGCAACAGCCAGGUGCGGAAUAGGAAGAGCUCAAGACUGCAGGGGUGUUAUCCUCCUUAGUGUCAAUGGGGAAAUUUAACCUGGAGAUGAAACUUGCUGCUUGAUUUGGGACAACGUGUACAUGAAGGGCUGCCGGCAGGCAUACAUGACUUUGGUCCCAAGUCUCAGCCAAGCUAAAGAGCUCCUGCAAAGUUGCUGCCUCAGUGGGAUCAGCUUCUAAAAACCAGCUGUGAGGUACCUCACACCUGAGCCCUGUGUCACUUGUGUGCAGCCAUUAUGAGUCCUGUGGGAUGGUGUCCACACACCCCGAUGGUUGUAGGGGCAGCAGCCUCACCCUGAGCCCCUCACUUGGAUGAGGUCGGGCUCCCCACUCCCUGGGACACUGUGCCUUUUUCCAAGGGAACUGCCCUCUAAAAUACAACUGAAUCCUCUCAAAAAAUAUUGGAAAAGAAAAAAAAAAAGCAUAUGAGAAAAAAAAUAAGGCACUACAUCAGUGCCUUAUUUUUUACCCAGUGCUUAUCACAAAUUUGCUUAUAGCAAGAAUGAAAGGAUGUUAGCAGUGUCUGAGCGAUUUGCACUCAUUUUUUGAACCUGUAGUUCAAAAAAUGUAAACAUCAGGCCAUUAAGAUUUAAUUGCCUUUUAUAUUCUCAGUGGAAGCUUUUACUAUGAACUAUUCAUAAGCAUGCUUAGGGCUGUUCAAAAAACCACGUUAGGGCCUUGCUUACAGAGGAAGGCACUCAGUUAGUUACAUUUUUGGGCACCUGGUUGCCCUGACCCAGCGGCUGCACAGACCCCAGCCCACCAGGGAGAGACCGGCCCAGAGGACAGGAGCAAGGCAGCAGGGCAGGGGCACCCAGGACCCAGAGUGGCACAUGGUGAGGACUUGGUGCCCGUCCUCUGCCACUCAGACCAUGCCAGGAGGGUCUUUACAGCCCGACACAGCACGUUGCUCUUUGGCUGCCAAAUGUCCAUGUUUGACCUCAACUUCCUGCUCUUGUCUGACAGCUAAAACCAGCAGAGCACUCCUGUCUGAAACUGUUUCCUACCCCCAGAGGAAAACUCAACAAAAAUACCCUUACUGAGGCAUUUUAGAGCAAAUUUUUAAGCAAAAUACAAUUUUGAUUUCGUCUUCGUUUAAUUUAAUUUAAUUAUUUGCCUCUCUGUGUUAUUGAAACUCAUCUUUCACCAUUCUCCCUGUAACAUUUUCCCCAGCAGUUCAACAAACACCAGGAUGUUCCUGGGCUUAAUAUUUUUUUCACGUGUUUUUCAAAAUUUCCCCAGUUUUUACUAAAAGUACAGAGAUGUAAAACUAACUUCUUUACUGUCCGAUAGCAUACAUAUGCUUUAACUGAGAAAUAGUUGAGAAAUUACUGAGUAAAAAAAAGAAAAGGGAAUAAAAGUAAGAGAAAUUAGGUAAUUCUAGAUACCACUCAGCAUGUUUUAUUCAACAGAAAAAGGGGCAAGCCCCUGCGAAAUAAAAGGAAAGCAAGAUGUGUGCUGGUCCCUCGGCUGAGCCAUGUCUGGAUUACAAGCCACCUGCCUAUUAACUUCCAGGAAGCUGGGGUCAGAGAGUUUCCCAGAGCCUAUUCUUUUUUACCAGUUGUGUACCCUCAAAUGAGCGAGCCAUGUUUUACUUCUGAGGGAAUGCACACGUGUCCCAAACCUGACCAGGCCCCAGUAAUAACCACCUCAUCAGAGGUGUGAAACCCCUUCCAAUUAAGAGCCUGGAAGAGACUCAUCUGCCUUCAUCUGAGAGCAGAAAGGACAGAAGCUUGCCAAAAAUCUCCAUCUUUCUAUGAAGUCAUGAGGAGCUGAAAGUAGCUUUGAUGGAGUUAAGAUCGUGCCUUACAUGUGUUUAAAUGUCAGUCUUUACUUCCAGUGGCAGAGGUGCACAGGGAAAAAGUGUUCAUAGCAUCCCUAUAAAAAAGGAUCAUCACCUCUUUGUUCUAUACGGUUGGUGCUGCAUUAAUGCAGUCCAUCCACUGCUGCCACGAUGCAAGAAAAUCUAAUAACAUGAAACUAGAUCACUAAUUUCUGACCUCUUAGUUCUCAGUUUCCACUGAGGAGUAAAGAGCUGUUUUACUGAAGCCUUUAUAAAUUACAUUCAGUGGAAAUCAUACAGGAAAACUCAUUCAGAAGGCUAUUUCUUUACAGAGAAAACACAAUACUGCCUCAGCCUAGAGGAGCAUCGGGAACAAUACAGUGAGCCACUGGUGCUGCAAUCCAGAUCACCCGCCCAUAGGCAGCACCGCUUCUCUGGAAAAUGGCACCCACCAGUAGCCUCAGAGAAACAGAAACCUCCAGAGAGCCAGAAGAAUCGGAACCAGUCCUGCAGCUACAGCUCCUGGCUUACCCAACGUCGUGGCCGCAGCGCACUUUCUCUGUUUUUAGCAGCCCUGGCACUGCACCGCCACAGAGCACACAUCCACUCCCAUCCUGACACCCUGCAGCCCAGCUGGGCAGGGCAAGCAGCACUGGGGCACAGCUGGUUUCUUGCUCCAACCUACUUAGCUGAGUACUUGUACAGUUCCUGUCCAGGCACCAUCUCAGCUCUACAGGCAACUAAAGGUGAGCUCAAGGGGAGAAGGGUUUAAUUUUGCAGGAGAACAAGUAGUACGCUGAUACUGCCCAUGGACUCCAAUAACCAGCCAAGCCAGCACUGGGCAAUCAUCCCUCGUUCUCCUGAGCACGUUUUGCCUGGUUGGGCAGCACUGAGAUCAGAAUUGCAUCCAGGCCAAAGGGUGAAGAUGCCGUAUCACCACUAAAAGCAGAAGGAAUGCUUCGGGUAAAACAAUUCUGAGAAACGUGUUUGUGAAAUAGUUUAAGGUCCCUCCACUUAAGAUGCAACAUGCAGUCUUGUAUAUGCAAUUCUAAAGAGCUUAUAGCUCAUAUACAGAUUUCAGUCAUCCCACAGCACUGUCACGUCUUAUUUCCAGCACCUAGCAGACACAUGUAUGGGUGAGCCUGUGACACUUUCGAUUUGCAACAGGUACAAACUUAGCUUGGUUGUCAGACCGAGCUGAGACGCUCACCCAGCAAACCACACCAUUUUAUACAGAGGACAAGAAACUAUUUCACCUAUCAAGAAACUGUGAUCUUGCUGAAAAUUCUUUUUUUUCCUCAGCCCUACUCCUCCCCCGAUACAGUAAUUUGGUGCAUUAUGUGUGCUUUAAUAAAGAAGAAAUGAAACCCCAAACUGCGGCUCAAGUACAGAAGGUUCAUCUGUUCUGGCUGCUGAGAGAUGUUUAUUUACAGCAUCCGCUGGGCUGCCCGGGCAGGAGAUGCAAGGAGACAGCACCUAAGGUUCCAGAUCAACUACCAAAAAUCAAAUAGAGGCCCAAUUAUCAUCCAAAAAUUGGGUGAGGUCAACAGCCCCACCUGAAGGGUAUUUUUCCUUGAAGCAGCAGUUCAGGACAUAAUUUGCUGCCUACCAUAACCAUAAUGUUAUUUAAAUUGAGUUCCUUCUGAAUGUAAUUUACUGCCAUGGUUUAUUGAGCUUAUUUUAACACUACAUCGGGAGAUUAAAUAUUAAACUAUCGUUUUAACUGUUUUAUAAAGGUUACAUUAGUACAUUCCACUUCUUUAUUGCUCUGCUGAAUGUCAAGGUGCAGAGCACUCAGCACAGCCCGAUGGUGACUGGGAGAAAUAAAGGUCACGUCCUGUACAUCUGCUUCAAAAGUUCAGCCUCUGCUCUACCCAGAAAACUGCCCACCAAUAAAUGCCUACAACGAAUUAGGAAAAUAGGGGUCAUCUGCACCCAGAGCACCAGCAGCACUAGAGCAAUGUCUGACCUUGGGGCAUGUGGGGGCCUUCAGGGCUCUCCCGUUUUGACCUCAGCAAUGUUUGCAGCUCCCCAUGCCCACGCCAUGAAAGCAAAGGGCGCAGUGACAGCGCUCAUGCUGGGAGGCCGCAGGGAGCUGCAUGCAUGGGGGUGAGGUGUGUGGUCACUUCUCCCCUUGCACAGUCACCAGGGGUGUGAUGGAGAGCAGAAAUGAGAAAUGAGAAACCCAGGCACAGUGCAACAAGGUGGGGCUGGAGAAACCCCGAGGCCGCAGGGCCUUCCGCACUUUGGCUGUGCACCACGGAGCCCUGGCAACAGCUCGCACACCUUGCACCUCCAUGACGUGGUUCACGCUCGGGUGCUGUGAGGUUUGACACAAACACACGGCCGACCAACGGCAGAGCCGGGGCAAAGAGUGAGGCCCCUGCUCCCAGCCGGGUGCUGGAGGCUUUUAGCACCUGACUGCAACACAGCCCCCAGCUGCCCCAGCCGCAGCCAGCCCUGCUCCAAGAGAGCAACGGGGCUCUCUGCAGUGAGGAAGGAGCAUGUGGUUCUAUACUUCUUUGGAUUUUUUUUCCAUUUUCUUUCUGUAUCUGACUUAUCUUUCUACUUUUCCUUCCUCAUCUUCUCCACAAGCUUUCUAUCCGUGCACUUUCUCCAGUACAAUGGCCUGCUGCUCUUUAAUGCGUUUAAAUGUGAGGCGUUUAUCCUCAGUUUGAAAUCUUGAGUAACUUAAGACAAUUCUCAGAGAAGACUUUCUGGUUGAGUUUCAGAGAUCCAGAAGUCAGUUCAGGGUCAGGUUUAGGCCUCCAGAACUGCACAAGACAGAGCUAAAAUUCAGUAGAUGUCUUUUCUUCUGUGCAAUUUGUUCUUUGUUACAACAACACAAAGCA
Molecule: RNA transcript, 7326 nt
Organism: Numida meleagris (helmeted guineafowl)
Lineage: Eukaryota; Metazoa; Chordata; Aves; Galliformes; Numididae
Exons: 3
Source: RefSeq, a predicted model, not a curated record